Molecule: long non-coding RNA, 572 nt
Organism: Oncorhynchus tshawytscha (Chinook salmon)
Lineage: Eukaryota; Metazoa; Chordata; Actinopteri; Salmoniformes; Salmonidae
Source: Ensembl
GGCUCUACCUCCAUGGCAUUGGAUGCACUUGCAUAGAGUGCACUGGGCCUGAGUCCAAAAGUGCAGGGCUUGUGCUCUUGAAGAGUCAGGAGUCUUGGAGCAGCCCCUGGGAUGAGUGGAAAUGCAUCGGGGAGUACGAACAAAGGAUCCAAUUCAGGAAAGUCGAAUUUCUGGUCUAAAUGCUGGCUCGGGAGAGACGAAGGUUGAAAGUCAUGCAUCCUCCGAUACACAACCCAACCAAGCCACACUGCUUCUUAACACAGCACGCAUCCAACCCGGAAGCCAGCCGCACUAAUGUGUCAGAGGAAACACUGUGCACCUGGCAACCUUGGUUAGCGUGCACUGCGCCCAGCCCACCACAAGAGUCGCUGGUGCGCGAUGAGACAAGGAUAUCCCUACCGGCCAAGCCCUCCCUAACCCGGAUGACGCUUUGCCAAUUGUGCAUCGCCCCAUGGACCUCCCAGUCGUGGCCGGUUACGACAGAGACUGGGCGUGCACCUAGAGUCUCUGGUGGCACAGCUGGCACUGGAGUACAGCACCCUUAACCACUGCACCACCCGGGAGAACCCAUC